Non-coding RNA from Cinara cedri, 345 nucleotides. NCBI's taxonomy places the organism in Eukaryota, Metazoa, Arthropoda, Insecta, Hemiptera, Aphididae. The record is from the annotation of a GenBank genome assembly.
GCAUUAUUAUAUUAUAGUUGACAGUGAUAGUGCGAAAUGUCAUUAUUGCUCUAAUUCGUAUUUGUUUAAAGGGGGAUCCACUGCUAAACUAAACAGGCAUUUAAAAAGAAAGCACACUAUUCAAUAUGAGUAUGCAUCUCACAAAUGACAGCCAAUAUUAAUUAAUCAACAACGUUGAUAACCCUAUAUGUCAAAUCUGUAGUUCAUCUGAAAAUAUAAGUACUAAACAAUCACCUUCAGUUGUAAAAACAUUUGCACAACCUAAACAAACACAUAUUAAAUCAUAUAUUAUUAAGCUAGUUUCCGUUUUAAAAUCUAAAAAAAUUGAUGAUCAAUUAGCUAUCA